CGGCCCGAGUUGUAAUUUGUAGAGGAUGCUUUAGGUGCGGUGCCUUCUGAGUUCCCUGGAACGGGACGCCUUAGAGGGUGAGAGCCCCGUAAAGUCGGACACCAAGCCUGUGUAAAGCUCCUUCGACGAGUCGAGUAGUUUGGGAAUGCUGCUCAAAAUGGGAGGUAAAUUUCUUCUAAAGCUAAAUACCGGCCAGAGACCGAUAGCGCACAAGUAGAGUGAUCGAAAGAUGAAAAGCACUUUGAAAAGAGGGUUAAAAAGUACGUGAAAUUGUUGAAAGGGAAGCGCUCAUGACCAGACUUGUGCCCUGCGGAUCAUCCAGCCUUCUGGCUGGUGCACUUCGCUUGGUUCAGGCCAGCAUCGGUUUCCCGAGGGGGAUAAAAACUUCAGGGACGUGGCUCCUCCGGGAG
RNAcentral lists this ribosomal RNA (410 nucleotides) under Thyridium sp. RNAcentral describes it as "partial large subunit ribosomal RNA". It matches the Rfam family "Eukaryotic large subunit ribosomal RNA", at positions 134 to 551 of the family's 3401-position model. Lineage: Eukaryota; Fungi; Ascomycota; Sordariomycetes; Thyridiales; Thyridiaceae. The record is from RNAcentral.